GAAUCAUUUACUCCAAGCAAGCGCUGUAACUGAAGCCCGAGCCCAGCCCUCCGUACCACCACAGACUUCUGAAGCUGGGAAAGCUUUAGAAGCUGGGAGUUUUCUGAUUCUCUCAUCAUUAUGUUUCUCCUCAGUCUUUAGAUAGAGGGAUCCAGUGGCCAUUGUUUGAAGCUGUGAAAGUGAAGCUUGUAUUGUGUUGGAGACAUCAAGACGUUGGAGAUAACAGAGCAAUGACAGGAUAUCUGUCAAUACUAGCUGCAAACAGGAAGCAGCUCAAGAAAGAGAAAGUUUGGAGUGUUUAAUGUGACCACAUGGCUGAAAUUCAAGCUCAUUGUUUGAUGCUUAGAAAUACUCCAGGAAUCCACUCCAUCUCCACCCUCCCAUCUGCUCCAAAGAACAGAACAUUCUUCAGUCCUGAGGACCUGAGGAUUCUGACUCCUGACUCCA
RNAcentral lists this long non-coding RNA (447 nucleotides) under Rattus norvegicus (Norway rat). RNAcentral's name for it is "partial HAfT19 variant X2". The record is from RNAcentral. Lineage: Eukaryota; Metazoa; Chordata; Mammalia; Rodentia; Muridae.